Molecule: ribosomal RNA, 253 nt
Filed under: uncultured bacterium
Lineage: Bacteria
Description: partial 16S ribosomal RNA
Rfam family: Bacterial small subunit ribosomal RNA
Source: RNAcentral
UACGUAGGGUGCGAGCGUUGUCCGGAAUUACUGGGCGUAAAGAGCUCGUAGGUGGUUUGUCGCGUUGUUCGUGAUAACUCACAGCUCAACUGUGGGCGUGCGGGCGAUACGGGCAGACUGGAGUACUGCAGGGGAGACUGGAAUUCCUGGUGUAGCGGUGGAAUGCGCAGAUAUCAGGAGGAACACCGGUGGCGAAGGCGGGUCUCUGGGCAGUAACUGACGCUGAGGAGCGAAAGCGUGGGGAGCAAACAGG